AAGUCGUAACAAGGUUUCCGUAGGUGAACCUGCGGAAGGAUCAUUAUUGAAUUGUCGAAUGGGGUUGUUGCUGGCCUCUAGGCAUGUGUACGCCCUUCUCACAUCCAUUCACACCUGUGCACUUUUUGUAGUUCGGAGUGGGAGGUUCCUCUGAGGUCCCUCACAGUCCGGCGCUACGUUUCUCCUACAAACACUAUCUGUAUAGAAUGUCAACUCGGCGUGUAUAAACGCAGAAUGUGAAACAACUUUCAGCAACGGAUCUCUUGGCUCUC
RNAcentral lists this unclassified non-coding RNA (272 nucleotides) under fungal sp. RNAcentral describes it as "partial internal transcribed spacer region". The stretch from base 1 to 46 matches the Rfam family "Eukaryotic small subunit ribosomal RNA", at positions 1786 to 1831 of the family's 1831-position model. The record is from RNAcentral. Lineage: Eukaryota; Fungi.